This 75-nucleotide transfer RNA is filed under the name Rhizobium sp. MHM7A. Its description in RNAcentral is "tRNA-Glu". It matches the Rfam family "tRNA". From Rfam's summary of the family: Transfer RNA (tRNA) molecules are approximately 80 nucleotides in length. Their secondary structure includes four short double-helical elements and three loops (D, anti-codon, and T loops). Further hydrogen bonds mediate the characteristic L-shaped molecular structure. tRNAs have two regions of fundamental functional importance: the anti-codon, which is responsible for specific mRNA codon recognition, and the 3' end, to which the tRNAs corresponding amino acid is attached (by aminoacyl-tRNA synthetases). tRNAs cope with the degeneracy of the genetic code in two manners: having more than one tRNA (with a specific anti-codon) for a particular amino acid; and 'wobble' base-pairing, i.e. permitting non-standard base-pairing at the 3rd anti-codon position. The record is from RNAcentral. Lineage: Bacteria; Pseudomonadati; Pseudomonadota; Alphaproteobacteria; Hyphomicrobiales; Rhizobiaceae.
GGGGUAUUCGUCUAUCGGUUAGGAUACCAGGUUCUCAGCCUGGGGAGAGGGGUUCGACUCCCCUAUGCCCUACCA